GGCACACGGUGGAUGCCUUGGCAUGCAGAGGCGAUGAAGGACGUGUAAAGCUGCGAAAAGCCACGGGGAGCUGCACAAAAGUGUUGAUCCGUGGGUAUCCGAAUGGGGCAACCCAUCCCUUAGGGGAUAUCCUUUCGAGGAGGCAUACGCUCUGAACUGAAACAUCUAAGUAGGAGCAGGAAGAGAAAACAAUAGUGAUUCCCUGAGUAGUGGCGAGCGAAAGGGGAGAAGCCCAAACCGGGCCCUACGGGGUUCGGGGUUGUAGGACCUGCGCGAGUUGUGUUAUUGGAAGUCGAAUGGGUCUGGAAAGCCCAGCCACAGACGGUGAUAGUCCGGUAGGCGUAACGAUGACAUGAUGGCGGGUAUCCUGAGUAGCGCGAGGCCGGUGAAACCUUGCGUGAAUUUGCCGGCACCAUCCGGUAAGGCUAAAUAC
This 433-nucleotide ribosomal RNA is filed under the name Ochromonas sp. CCMP1393. RNAcentral's name for it is "partial Bacterial large subunit ribosomal RNA". It matches the Rfam family "Bacterial large subunit ribosomal RNA", at positions 16 to 473 of the family's 2925-position model. The record is from RNAcentral. Lineage: Eukaryota; Chrysophyceae; Chromulinales; Chromulinaceae.